Non-coding RNA from Chelonoidis abingdonii (Abingdon island giant tortoise), 191 nucleotides. NCBI's taxonomy places the organism in Eukaryota, Metazoa, Chordata, Testudines, Testudinidae. The record is from RefSeq and is a predicted model, not a curated record.
UAUAACACUAUCCUCAGGAGCCAAAAAAUCUUACCACACUAUAGGUGAAACCGCAUUAUAUUGAACUUAGUUUAAUCCAUCGGAGUGCGCAGCCUUCCCGCCCGGAGCACUGCUUUUCCGCGUUUUAUCUGAAUUUGUGUUAUAUCGGGUGAUGUUAUAUCGAGGUAGAGGUGUACUGAAGCUAACAGAGA